UAGUUUUUAGUUUAAUUAAUAUUAUAAUCUUAUAUUAUACAUAAUGUAUAUAAAAUUUUUGAAAAUAUUUUUAAUAUAUAUGUUAGAUUUUAUUAGAAUAUCGUACAAUUAUAAGAUUAUUAGAAA
Molecule: microRNA precursor, 126 nt
Filed under: Daucus carota subsp. sativus
Lineage: Eukaryota; Viridiplantae; Streptophyta; Magnoliopsida; Apiales; Apiaceae
Description: sRNA DCAR_mi00242
Source: RNAcentral